UACGUAGGUGGCAAGCGUUGUCCGGAAUUAUUGGGCGUAAAGCGCGCGCAGGCGGCCUUUUAAGUCUGAUGUGAAAUCUUGCGGCUCAACCGCAAGCGGCCAUUGGAAACUGGGAGGCUUGAGUACAGAAGAGGAGAGUGGAAUUCCACGUGUAGCGGUGAAAUGCGUAGAUAUGUGGAGGAACACCAGUGGCGAAGGCGGCCAUCUGGGAAGCGACUGACGCUGAGACGCGAAAGCGUGGGGAGCAAACAGG
RNAcentral lists this ribosomal RNA (253 nucleotides) under uncultured bacterium. RNAcentral's name for it is "partial 16S ribosomal RNA". It matches the Rfam family "Bacterial small subunit ribosomal RNA", at positions 524 to 776 of the family's 1533-position model. The record is from RNAcentral.